Molecule: ribosomal RNA, 424 nt
Filed under: uncultured prokaryote
Description: bacterial SSU rRNA
Rfam family: Bacterial small subunit ribosomal RNA
Source: RNAcentral
UGGGGAAUAUUGGACAAUGGGGGAAACCCUGAUCCAGCCAUGCCGCGUGGGUGAAGAAGGCCUUAGGGUUGUAAAGCCCUUUCGGCGGGGAAGAUGAUGACGGUACCCGCAGAAGAAGCCCCGGCUAACUCCGUGCCAGCAGCCGCGGUAAUACGGAGGGGGCUAGCGUUGUUCGGAAUUACUGGGCGUAAAGGGCGCGUAGGCGGAACGGCAAGUCAGGGGUGAAAGGCCUGGGCUCAACCUGGGAACUGCCUUUGAAACUGCCGAUCUAGAGUCCGGAAGAGGAUGGCGGAAUUCCCAGUGUAGAGGUGAAAUUCGUAGAUAUUGGGAAGAACACCAGUGGCGAAGGCGGCCAUCUGGUCCGGAACUGACGCUGAGGCGCGAAAGCGUGGGGAGCAAACAGGAUUAGAUACCCCCGUAGUCC